AUGCUGCUGUUCUCUAUCCAGCAGGUUCAUGAUGAUGAUGAUGAUGAUGAUACUGAGAUGAAAGAUGGCAGUUUCAUUGAAAUGCUUAAAUCAGCCACAGAGGGGCCUGCAAAUCCCGCUGACGAUGGAUUGAGCUCUCACGAUGAGACCGGGACCGCUGAAGUAAUCGACAAGAUGUUUGAAGAGGUGCUGGAAUGUGCCGGAAAUGUGGAAGAAAAGGAGCGAGUGGAUGAAGAUGCAGAGGACUGCGAUAGUGGUAUCGGUGCUUGCUCUGGAGAUAAAGACAAGAUGGACACCGACGUGCAGAAGGAGACGAGUGAAGAAGCAACAGAAGAGGGGAAGAAUGAAAGCAACAAGCUGGACAGUUAUGGAGAUGAGCUGCUGACCUUUCCUCCAAGCGUCAUCCUCUCUCCUCUCAGCAAGUCUGUAGAAGCUGCGGUCACCCCGAUGCGGCUGGCAGCAGCUCAGGAGUCAAGCUCUUCAUCGUUGCUCCUGACUCCAGAAGAAACCAGCACCCCUCCGGCUGACUUCGCUCCACUUUACAGUGUCGAUGCGUACCGCACACAACGACAGAGUAAGCUACCCGCCACUCAGGGCGUGACUCCAGCUGCUCAGAGACGGGCCACAGAGGUGUCCGAGCCCCAGCCGUUGGUCAACACCAAGGAGAGAAUAGCCGUGAGGAACUAA
RNAcentral lists this long non-coding RNA (687 nucleotides) under Nothobranchius furzeri (turquoise killifish). RNAcentral describes it as "lncRNA (ENSNFUG00015015664.1)". The record is from RNAcentral. Lineage: Eukaryota; Metazoa; Chordata; Actinopteri; Cyprinodontiformes; Nothobranchiidae.